GAUAUAGCUGGUGCAGCCAGA
This 21-nucleotide non-coding RNA is filed under the name Arabidopsis thaliana (thale cress). Lineage: Eukaryota; Viridiplantae; Streptophyta; Magnoliopsida; Brassicales; Brassicaceae. The record is from RNAcentral.